This 321-nucleotide small nucleolar RNA is filed under the name Capitella teleta. Its description in RNAcentral is "small nucleolar RNA SNORA53". It matches the Rfam family "Small nucleolar RNA SNORA53". Rfam says of the family: The snoRNA ACA53 belongs to the H/ACA family of pseudouridylation guide snoRNAs. The record is from Rfam by way of RNAcentral. Lineage: Eukaryota; Metazoa; Annelida; Polychaeta; Capitellidae.
CACACGUUUCCUUAGAUCCACCUUCGGAGUGACUCACUCUGCUGUCGCCAUCUCUCUUCUGAGAGCAGCUCUCCGCUCUUAUGGCUAUCAGGUUUUCUGUGACCCAUUUGAGUGGAGGGCGUUGGCGACUGGCAGGGUGGCUUUACAGCCGCUCAACAACUUUUCCGGUUGUCCCAUCGAAGGUGCAUGAGUCAAUUGCGUGUAACAAUAAUACUCAACCGGCGAUAUUGUGCCGUUUUGACUGUCCUGGGCCGAAAGGCUCGGAUGAUAGCCAGUCUGCGGCCUUUGCUUGAUUGAAACAAACUUAUCGAUAUGAAUAAU